This 111-nucleotide non-coding RNA is filed under the name Aulacoseira subarctica. The record is from RNAcentral. Lineage: Eukaryota; Bacillariophyta; Melosirophyceae; Melosirales; Aulacoseiraceae.
AUAGUAAGAUAAUAGAUUUUAUUUCUUUUGUUAAAUUAAUUCUAUUGCAUGAAUGCAAGAGAAAGAAUAAAAUAAAAUAGAAUAAAAGAGCAUAUUGUAGUUAAAAUUCCU